UCAUAAUGACUAUGAAAAAAGGUACUUUGUUCGAGUUUGUAUAUUUUCGCAACGUGAGUGUGAAAGUAUAUGGUCGUCAUCAAGACCAAUUUAUUCUCAUUUAAACUCUCUCUCUUAACUUCAUGUACCAUCGUUCCUUCUCGUAUAUAUAGACGUACGUGCGUGCUUAGAGCCGCGACACGCCGCGGAACACGUGUGUGUGCCCAACGUGGCUCCAGAAUCCAGGCCCUUUCUAAACCUAAUGAGGAUACUUUCAGCCACGUUGGUGACUUGGUGUAUCUUCCCUCAUGGUGUAUGUUGUGAAAGAAGUUCAAGUGGUACUGUAAGCUCUACGCUUAUGAGUGCUUCUAGAAGUUUAUUCUCUAGAGUAGCUCCUCACCACCUGUACCUUACCCGUUGUUCUGGUGAUCAAGGUGGAGAUACAAAGUACAGUACACACAACUUGAAACAAAAUGAUCAGUUACACAUGUACGUUACGUGCAAUUAAAUCUUCAUAUAAUUCACGUACGCCUAUAAUUCAUCCUAUAAUAAACGCACAAUAAUAUACUAAUCGCGAUAUAAACCAUACUUUAAUUGACAUGCGAUUUGUACAACUCACGAGCUGUAACUUCGUCAGAUCCAGCAACCUAACUGUACUAAACUACCAGCUCUAAUUAACCUAGACGGGGAAACCCAGAAAAAUAUAACCAUAUCUACAAACUACUUGUACAGACAACUUAAACUCGAACACCUAGUUACUUGAUACAUUAAUACGUGAUCAUAAACACAAAAUAAACGAAACCUAAUUGAACUGUCCUCAAACUAUAAUAGGAAAACCUAAAUAAAACAACUUGUACGAAAUUUUACAACCUAUCAACUUCCGGUUUAAAAAUCCCGUGGUCAAAACGUAGUAGACAAUGCUGUCUUUUUAUAAAAACCACAGGUUUUUGGACAAGAGAGGACGGGAUUUUGAUAAAAACCCGUGACUAAAAAUGUAGUGGACAACCUCUACGAGAUUCCUCCUCCCCUCUCUCUUAAGUCGGAUCUAGUACGUACGUCCGAACAAGGUUUGUUUUCGAAUCGUAUAAACGGAGGCGACGGUUAACGUAACGGAGUCCGCUAACUGAACUGAACCGGUGGUAAACAGGGACUAAUAAUACAUGAAUAAACGGAGCAGCACGCCAGGUAUAUACUGUAUAGAGCGUCGAUUCGCCGACGAGGAGAUGAGGAACAGCAACCCGGCAACGGCACCUCGCCUCUGGACGCAAAAACUAUGUAUCUCGUCUCUUCAAGUCAUCAACUCCUUACCUCGUUUUCCUGGGGUUUAGAAGUAUGUUGAGACGAAUAGCAAUGCCCUUAAGUAGUUGUCCCAGAUUGAGCUCUAUACGUUGACGUGGGGGCCCUAAGUCGGGCACCAUACGGAGAAGACGCCCAUUGUUACACGUCGUCGGUCUUCGUGUUCGGGGGACGUCUCCUUCAUGAGGUCCUAACCGCUGCUGAUGACGAGACACCGAGUUCACUGACUUCGAAACCGUGUUCGCCCAGAACUUAGAAGUUUGGAAUAACAUCCGUACCUAAAAUGCUUUUCAUUGCUUACCUGUCCUUUUUUAAGUAUAUUAGCCGUAACAGACGUACUAUAACCUUCUUGAGGUUUGGGCAUACUCGUUCGGUAUAGAUAAUAACCUUCCUGUGAAAGCCUAAAACUACUUCUGUUAAACUAAGGGACGAAACCUAAACCACUACGCAGUUGAGUACUGUUCCUGCAUAAGUCAAAAAUAGGUCUCCUGGCGGGAACGUGACCUAAACUUCUCCGUAAUCUUUCUAUGUCUGUUUAGCAAGGUCGAGAAGCUAAUAGACCUGGUUGUAGAAAGCGAGGUUAUUAGCUCUGGCGUUAGCCCUAGCACCUGUCGUGACCACCGGUUAUAGUACAAGAAGACUAUUAACGACUACCUGUCCAACGAGCUUUACACCUAUGUGUCAGACCCGUCAAUUCGGGUGUCCUCACCCUGUGGUAAUUGCGAUAUCACUUUCGAUCGGUGAAAGGGAACAGAUAACAAGAGCAACCCCAGCCACUACCUGGUACCCUAUACUACGUAUUCAAACUACUGUUGUAUGGACGAGCCAGUAAGCUGUUAAAGGUCAAACACUUAAAGUGCCUCUAAUACAGUUUCUCGUAUCGUCGACUGUCUUUUCUCCGACUCAAACGCAACAGUCGUAACUACCUUUAGGGAUGCGUCAUGUUUCGUUGUGAACUAGAGGUUGAGGAACCAGCAGCGGUUCCUUAUGGAGGUUCUCAAGGAGACGGAGGUGGUUGUUCCUGACGGAUAAGUGCCAGACGAUCGAAACUGGUUGUCAGACCACAAAUAAGUGCCAGAUCACCGAAACCGGUUGUUUGUUCUCCCAAAGUCGUUAGUCUG
RNAcentral lists this ribosomal RNA (2396 nucleotides) under Triticum aestivum (bread wheat). RNAcentral's name for it is "partial small subunit ribosomal RNA". The record is from RNAcentral. Lineage: Eukaryota; Viridiplantae; Streptophyta; Magnoliopsida; Poales; Poaceae.